Molecule: ribosomal RNA, 917 nt
Filed under: Aspergillus tamarii
Lineage: Eukaryota; Fungi; Ascomycota; Eurotiomycetes; Eurotiales; Aspergillaceae
Description: LSU rRNA
Rfam family: Eukaryotic large subunit ribosomal RNA
Source: RNAcentral
UUAAGCAUAUCAAUAAGCGGAGGAAAAGAAACCAACCGGGAUUGCCUCAGUAACGGCGAGUGAAGCGGCAAGAGCUCAAAUUUGAAAGCUGGCUCCUUCGGGGUCCGCAUUGUAAUUUGCAGAGGAUGCUUCGGGUGCGGCCCCUGUCUAAGUGCCCUGGAACGGGCCGUCAGAGAGGGUGAGAAUCCCGUCUGGGAUGGGGUGUCCGCGCCCGUGUGAAGCUCCUUCGACGAGUCGAGUUGUUUGGGAAUGCAGCUCUAAAUGGGUGGUAAAUUUCAUCUAAAGCUAAAUACUGGCCGGAGACCGAUAGCGCACAAGUAGAGUGAUCGAAAGAUGAAAAGCACUUUGAAAAGAGAGUUAAAAAGCACGUGAAAUUGUUGAAAGGGAAGCGCUUGCGACCAGACUCGCCUCCAGGGUUCAGCCGGCAUUCGUGCCGGUGUACUUCCCUGGGGGCGGGCCAGCGUCGGUUUGGGCGGCCGGUCAAAGGCUCCCGGAAUGUAGUGCCCUUCGGGGCACCUUAUAGCCGGGAGUGCAAUGCGGCCAGCCUGGACCGAGGAACGCGCUUCGGCACGGACGCUGGCAUAAUGGUCGCAAACGACCCGUCUUGAAACACGGACCAAGGAGUCUAACAUCUACGCGAGUGUUCGGGUGUCAAACCCGUACGCGCAGUGAAAGCGAACGGAGGUGGGAGCCCCCUCGCGGGGCGCACCAUCGACCGAUCCUGAUGUCUUCGGAUGGAUUUGAGUAAGAGCGUAAAUGUGGGGACCCGAAAGAUGGUGAACUAUGCCUGAAUAGGGCGAAGCCAGAGGAAACUCUGGUGGAGGCUCGCAGCGGUUCUGACGUGCAAAUCGAUCGUCAAAUUUGGGUAUAGGGGCGAAAGACUAAUCGAACCAUCUAGUAGCUGGUUCCUGCCGAAG